GGAAGCCAGUGGAGACGCGUCCUCGUCGGAGAGGAAAUGCUCUCGCCUCGUGCUGGCUGCGGGUCCUUGGCCCGCGGGGCGACACGAGGUGGCCCUGGCCGCGGUGAUGGCGAAACUCUGCCGGGGUGGGGAGGCCGGAAGCGCUGAGACCCCAGCUCGGGCCCGCGGGACCCCAGGGCCGGACGCCCCUCCGUUAGAAUCUGUUCCAGGAGCCACUGGGGCGUGGACGGGAGGAGAGCGAGGGAGGUGGCCCGCGCGCAGACGCCGACCUCGGCGGGAGGGGGUUGGGGUGGGAGAGGACACUGUGGCCCUGGCGUCCCUCUGCACGGGUAAACCUCCCAUGCACUUUGUUUUACGCUUUCCCCCAGGAAAUGAGAUCUUGAUUGGGUGGAGGCACGCGUCGAUUCCUUCCCGACCUCUGAUGAGUGUUUUCAAAGUGGCCUCAAUUCGGGUGACCCAGGUCACUUGACCAGAAGAUCUGUGUGCUGGGUGAAGGCUGACUUCCUUUCUGCUGGUUGUGUGGUUGGUAUGUCAUUGCUGUGGCUUAGGCACUUCCAGGUCUGCUGGUUUAAUUCUUACCCAUGUGCUCUUUGAGUGCUGGCCUGCUGAAGUCUGUUCUGUGUGGAUGUAAAUAAAUGUGAAGUGACCCCGAGGAGUCUCUUGUGU
This 666-nucleotide long non-coding RNA is filed under the name Castor canadensis (American beaver). RNAcentral describes it as "lncRNA (ENSCCNG00000019032.1)". Lineage: Eukaryota; Metazoa; Chordata; Mammalia; Rodentia; Castoridae. The record is from RNAcentral.